CCCUUAGAUGUCCUGGGCUGCACGCGCGCUACACUGAUGUGUCCAGUAAGCACCUAACCUCUUCCGAAAGGAACGGGUAACCUUUGCAAAGCACAUCGUGAUGGGGAUAGAUUAUUGCAAUUAUUAGUCUUGAACGAGGAAUUCCUAGUAAGCACAAGUCAUCAGCUUGUGCUGAAUACGUCCCUGCCCUUUGUACACACCGCCCGUCGCUCCUACCGAUUGAGUGCUCCGGUGAACAAUUUGGACUGCUUUGAUUCGAUUAGAAUUUGAAGCGGAAAGUUUAGUGAACCUUAUCACUUAGAGGAAGGAGAAGUCGUAACA
This 321-nucleotide ribosomal RNA is filed under the name uncultured eukaryote. RNAcentral describes it as "partial 18S ribosomal RNA". It matches the Rfam family "Eukaryotic small subunit ribosomal RNA", at positions 1470 to 1796 of the family's 1831-position model. The record is from RNAcentral.